AUGCCAAAGCGGCGGCGGCACGGUGAGCUUGCCUGCUGCCGUGAGCGACUUUACCUUGUAUUCGAUGACUGGUGCCAUGGAUAUACCAUCCGCGAGGUAAACUUGUUGCCCGGCAAGAACCAUCAGACUGCGGUCACAGGCCAUGCCUCUGUGCGUCGCCAUGCCGCCGUGCGUCGUUUUCCAAAACCAUCCUUCCGCAUGGUGGCGCGGCGUUGGUGUCCCAAGUUCUUCAUGUCAGCCUUUGGCACCAGGAUCUUGGCGAUGCAACCCAGAGAUCCCGAGGGUGACUUGUCCGAGAGGUACUUCCCCACGCUGGACGUCCGCUCGCGGGCCGCCGCCAUUAGCCCUGCUCCAGAAUGGCUUAUGGGAACCAUCCACNNNNNNNNNNGGAGUGGUCAUGGAAAGAGCUCUCGAAACAGCCAUUCAAUGUUCUGGACGUCACCUCCUACUCUUUGCACCCUGAAGAACAGACCUUCCAAGUCAGCACCAAGAAGGAUGUCAUUGAGGCCACCUUCGCUUUUGACACGGAUAAGCUUUCAUGGAAACUACUUGGCAGUUUUUUUUUUGCCAUAA
This 573-nucleotide ribosomal RNA is filed under the name Triticum aestivum (bread wheat). RNAcentral describes it as "partial small subunit ribosomal RNA". Lineage: Eukaryota; Viridiplantae; Streptophyta; Magnoliopsida; Poales; Poaceae. The record is from RNAcentral.